ACGGGAGGCAGCAGUGAGGAAUAUUGGUCAAUGGAGGCAACUCUGAACCAGCCAUCUCGCGUGAAGGAAUACGGCCCUACGGGUCUUAAACUUCUUUUAUAGGGGGAUAAAGUGAGCCACGUGUGGCUUUUUGUAGGUACCCUAUGAAUAAGCAUCGGCUAACUCCGUGCCAGCAGCCGCGGUAAUACGGAGGACGCGAGCGUUAUCCGGAUUUAUUGGGUUUAAAGGGUGCGCAGGCGGCACGUUAAGUCAGCGGUGAAAUGUCGGGGCUCAACCCGGGCACUGCCGUUGAAACUGGCGAGCUUGAGUACGGAUGAAGUCGGCGGAAUGUGAUGUGUAGCGGUGAAAUGCUUAGAUAUGACGAAGAACACCGAUUGCGUAGGCAGCAGACCAGGCCGUAAAUGACGCUCAUGCACGAAAGUGCGGGGAUCGAACAGGAUUAGAUACCCUGGUA
Molecule: ribosomal RNA, 454 nt
Filed under: uncultured Porphyromonas sp.
Lineage: Bacteria; Pseudomonadati; Bacteroidota; Bacteroidia; Bacteroidales; Porphyromonadaceae
Description: partial 16S ribosomal RNA
Rfam family: Bacterial small subunit ribosomal RNA
Source: RNAcentral